CUGCUUUUGAUGCAGCCCAGGAUAGUUUUGCCUCAUAGUAAUUUCUUCUGGGCAAGCCAUUGGGAAAAACAAAACAAAACAAAACAAAACAAAACAAAAAAACAGCAGCACGCAGUCAAAGCAGGCAUUUUCUGAUACUUUUCUGAUACUCAAAUACUGGUGUGUAUUUGUUAAUGUGGUUGUUCAUAUUUUGUUGACAGAGCCUGCUCAAUCUCUGCCUUACAUCAGAUGUGUUUAAGCUCAUUCAGUGAAACAGAGUCCUGUAACACCACCUGGAAAUGCCAGGUUCCACUUGAUUCUAGAUGAGCCAUGCAGGGAGGUGAAGAAUAUCCCAACUCCAUAAUUAGAUAGCAGUACUGCAUCUCCUAAGAAGCUAAUGAAUGAAUGGUUGUGGAAUGAGCAGAAAAAGCAUCCAGAAGGUCAAACUUUCUUAAGGUAAGGUAAAAGUACUUCUUAGUCAAGAAAUUAAUUUUGGGUCUCUUCAGCUUGCUCCACCUUCAGGACAAAAGACAUAAAUUUAAUGCUAAGCUUACUCUAACCACUAAGAUCACAUGAAGAGAUUUCUUUCUCUUUCUUCUGGACAGGGGGCAGCAGAAUGACCCUCUGGUGAGGGCUGUCCCCACUGAGGCUUUCCAAUAGAGAUCACCAGUAUCAAUGGCAACUGGACAAACUGCUUUCCUUCUUGGUGAGCUGAGUUGUGCAAAGGCUAAUAUUAGAGUCUGGAGAAAUUCUCUCAUAAUAAAUAAAAGAGUGGGAGGAUGAUGUUUUAUUUAAAUUGUAUACAUUAAUUGAGGACAUACAUUCUACCUCUCCAUCCCCAACAUAACUGAAAGCUGUUUUUCAUCUGUUCUUCUGUGAUGAAAUGAAAAGGUUAUCUGUUAAGAACAUAUCUGGAGAGAGGAAAUCCCACCCUAAAAUUUGCUGGAUUAGUGGCAGAUCCAAAGCCCAUUGAAAACAACCUGGUGAGUUUAGUGGGCUUUCAGUUCCAAAUCUAAGUGUCUGAUGAUCUGAAUAAUGUCUGUGAUUAUUUGUGUACUUCUCUGAUCAUAAUCUCUGCUUUUCUGCCUCGUGCUCUUGAGUCAGGAGCAGCAACACAGCCAUUUGCAGGACUUACUUAGCAAGAUAGUAGCCUUGCUGUAAGGUUGUAUGUCUUGCUGUCUGCAGUACUUGAAUCAGCCUCAAGUGACCAUGUGAAACAAAUGUAUUGCACAGUCCCAUCAGAUUUCUUCUUUCUGCUCAGGCUUUACUGCAAUCAUUUAAACAAUUUUUGUUCCUCCUGUAACACCUUGUUUCUGCUGAAAUGUGGAAACAGUAGAACUUCUUCAGCUUCUUUACACUGUAGUUUGAAGCAAUGGAAUCACAGACUCAUAGAGUCAUAGAAUCACUAAGGUUGGAAAAGACCCACAGGAUCACCCAGUCCAACCAUUCACCCAUCACCAAUGGUUCUCACUAAAAGCAGACAUAAACCCAACUCUGAUCCAGAUGAUGGCAACUUUGGGUUUUUUGGCUUGGGUGUAAAUGGCUUAAGCAAACUCAAAGCAGAAGAGAUUCAGAACCCACUGCAAGUUAUUGCGAAAUUCACCAUUUUAUGCUCUUUUGGAAAAAUCAAUUUUACACAGUUUGCAUCUAGUUUUGAAUGCUUGCAUCAUACUGCAUUUAAUUUGGAAACUAUUUUCUGUGGUCAUGAAUUUCUCCCUGGAGUCUCUUUCCAGGUAAUCAAAAGUUAGUGUCUUUCUGCACUUUGGAGGUGCAAGUCUUCCUUUUAUUAAGUGCUUUGCAUUCCUAACAUGAUGCUCAUCCUCACUGACUGGGUGCUUGCCUCCUACUGAGAGACUGGUGACUGAGAACUGGAAACUGAUUACGAUAGUAACUGAAGAAUGUUGUAAUCAUUCUCCUUGCGUGAGCCAGAUAUAUUCCCGACUCUCCUGCUUGGAGGGAAGUGUAUGGACUGUGAUAACAGGAAGGUUUAUAAAAUCAUUGCAAUCUAAGUAAUGAUUACGGUAAGCUGUUUAAAAAGUUAUGCCUGAUUCUCCCAUGUCUGAGUCCAAAAUCUGGUGAACCCCCAGCAGGAAUCUCUGCGUGGUCUGUGAGGAGAACUUCAUCAAGUUCACCACAGGACAAUGUUUCAGAGAGGCACAAUGGUAUUUUUCCAGUAUAUCCAGAGCAGAUCAUGACUGUGUGUGUUUGUAUUAAUCCCAGCACUUUUCAAGUUGUGUCUAUCACAUCUCUUCCACUGAGGACAAGUGAUGAAUAAGGGAACAGCAAUGCCAAGAAUGCUGAGAAAUGCUGUGUCUUGAGCAGAGCCCGUCCAGUCCUGGAGUCGCAGGUUAUCCUGCUGUGCAAACAGAACUGGUGGGGCAGAUGUUGGAGAACAAACUAGUUUUCCGUGGGGCCUCUUUGAAGAAAAUGCAGUCAGCUCAGGGUGGUCAGAAGCGCACUCUAAAAACAUUUAACCUUGGCAGCUGAAUACCAGUAAACCUAUAAGUGCUGGGCUCUGCCUCUCUGCUUGAAGAGCUGCUGACCAUAGAGGCCACCCAUCCUGAAGCUGUCUCUGUCAAGAGGCUAAGGAAGGAACAAAAGGAAUGAUGGCAAUUUGCUUCUUAUCAGAGGAAGUCUACUCCAUGAAUGACUCACAGGAGUAAUUAUCUGUCAAAUUGUCUCUGUGUGUAGGAAGAGUCUGCAUUUCCGUUCCUCAGUCUCAAGUCACUGUGGUUAGUUACCAAGCUUGCCAUUACUUCAAGAGGAUUUCUUCGUUAUUUGGUGGAUUCUUGGUGCUUAGGGUAAUUGCAGACUGACCACGGAGUAGAAACAGUAGCUGACCUACAGUAAAUAUCAGCUGAGGAAAUGGGUUGAUGGGAACCCCAUGAAGUUCAGCAAAGGCAAAUACCACACUCUCUGUCAGAGGUGAGACAGGGAUGUCUGUGCAGCAGGACAGAAUGAGCACUGCCGUGGACAGAAAGCCCCAAGGCAUGAAGGACCAGAGGCCUGGUUCUUCCUGGGGUGCACAACAACAGGAUGUGGGGACAGCUUGCAAAUUUUGUCCUGGGAUCUGGCGUGACUCAGGAACAGGUUGCCAGAGAGGCCAUGGGACCCCCAUCUGCUGGCCCGGUUUUUGUGGGGUGGGUCCUAGACCACCUGAAAUCCAGUCUGACCCAAUCCAUAGCUACUGGGUAAAGCACCAACAGGACUCACUGCUGUCACUGGUGGUUGCUUCUGCAAUUUUUACCUCAGGCACUUUUCUAAUAUCUUUACUGAAAUUAAAUAUCUUCAAAUACCUUUCAUUUGGAAGCCUUUAACUUAGUGAUAAUUUUCUUGACUUUAACAGCAGUGAGAGAAUGGCUUUUUUUUUUUUUUUCCCAAGGAAUCACCUCUUUAGUUACAGAUGAAAUGCUUAUGUGCUCAUGAAAUGUUCUUGCUCAAAGUUCUUGCAUUGCUGCUGCCAGGCACCAGCCCUGUGGUGAUCCUGUGCUCACAUGGCUUCCUGGUUCCUUCCCUGAGGCUCCCUCCAGUACUAACAGUACUAACAGCAAUAACUGCCAUAAAGCUCACUGUGGGGUCACGGCUGGGAUAAUUUGGCAUCCUGUGGGUAGUCUGAAAGAUGGAUUCCUGAUUGUGAGAAUGGCUUCUCCAGUGUCUGAGAAGCAUCCUUUGUGUUAAUCGACAGGUAAGGAAAUUGAACAGUUUCUUCACACCCUCCUUGCUGCAGAUUUCUUUCAACUAAGCCAUUUUAUUCCUGUUUCUGAGGGACAGAGAGAAAAUGCUGUAUCUUUUGUUUCAAGGCCUUAGGGUUAGAACUUCAUCUUUGGCUGUCUUUACGUUGCUACAUCAAAGUAGGCAGUAAGAAAUUAAAACCAUCAGGAUAACAUAAUAAAAAAGAACAUGCCAUUUAGAAGAAAAAAAAAAAGGGAGGGGGGGAUUGGGGAGAAAAAAAAAAUCGAUAUUUUGUCUUUUAGGUCCCUCGUGAGGAAUACUAGUGUAGAAAGAAACAGAGGGGAAAACGUGAACAAUGGACCUCUCCUACCCUAAUUGCAAGUACAGCAAGUAUGUCAAGUGUGCAUUUGAGAGACAGAAGACUGCUUUGUAAACAUGAGCAGUGCUCAUGAAACAGACAGAUGAUAGCUGAGAGUCAAUCUGUAGCUAUAUCCAUCUUGAAGAAACCUUAUCUGAUGAAGCGAACCAGCAUAGCCUGUAUCUGUAAUUCUUGAUCAAUAUAUUUUUGUUUUAUCUUCUGCUGAAUGGCCUUGCUGCAUUUUAUAUGAAAUUUGAUUGUAUAAACGGCUUCCACAUUUUGGAAACGCUUCCAGUUUGGGAAUAUAAGUGGAGAAAUGGUUGAUGUCUGGAUUUCUCUCAGAUUAAGUGAAAAGCACCUUCUGAAGUACUGAACUGCUGCAAUCACACCUGGUUUGGCCCUGCCCUAAAACAAGCUUUGGGGUAUGAGAGAGUGCUGAAGUCUACCUGGAGUUCUUAUAGGUUGGUCUCUAGAGGCAGAAUAUCAGACACUUUCUGAAAUUUCAUAGUUUAGGAUUUAGGUGUGUUUUUCCUUCUGAGCAUAAGCAAUUUACUGAAUAUGGUCAGCGUUUUCUUUAUUGGCGUUGUAGAGUGAAGGAUAACUGCUUUGCAAAUCAACUAAAUUAAAACUACUGUAUUAGGAAUACUGCCUUUAAGCAUAAUAACUGUGUAACACAAACUUGGCAGAAAGAUGUUUAAUUUACAGGAAAAAAAGUGAACAGGUUAAAGAAUAUUCAGAUAAGUUAGGUAGAUUCAAGUCAGCAGGGCCUGAUGAAAUUCACCCCAGAGUACUUCAGGAACUAUCUGAAGUGAUCUCUGAACUAUUAGCAGUUAUCUCUGAGAGCUCAUGGAGGAUGGGUGAGGUCCUGGAGGACAGGAGAAAAGCAAACACUGUACCUAUCUUUAAAAAGGGGAAACAGGAAGACCUAGGGAAUUUCAGGCCAGUCAGGUUGACUUUGAUACUGAGAAAAAUGCAAGAGCAAAUUAUUGAACAAUCAAUUUGUAAACACCUAGAGGAAAAUAAGGUGAUAAGAGCCAGCAUGGGUUUGUCAAGAACAAAUCACAUCAAAGCAAUCUAAUUUCCUUCUUUGACAGUGUAACUGGCCCAGUGGAUAAGAGGGAAGCAGCAGAUGUGAUAGAUCUUGACUUCAGUGAGGGCUUUGACACACAUCCACCUGACAUUUUCAUAAGUAAGUCAGAGAAAUAUGCUUUAGAUGAAGUUAUUAUGUGAUGAGUGCAAAACUGUUUGAAAAAUUGGACUUAUUGGUAAAGCAAUUAUCAAUGUUUUGUUGGCAAACUGGGAAAACUGUGGUAUCUCAUCAAAUAAGAUAUCACAGAGGUCUGCCUUAGGUCCAGUAUUAUUCAAUGUUUACAUCUUCGAUGAUGGAAGAUAUAGAAAACUUUUAAAAAUUGCAGGUGAUACUGAACUAGAAGGGCUGCAAACAUUUUAGAGAACAGGAUUUGAAUACAAAAUAAUCUUGAUAAAUUGAAGAAAGAGUCUGAAGCCAAUAAGAUGAAAUUCAAUAUGAACAAGUGUAAGGUAUCACUUCUGAGGAAGGAAACAUCAAAUACACAAAUAUGAAAUGGAAAACAAGAAGUUUGGAAGCAGUUCACAUAAAAGAAGUUUAGCACAUUGCACACAAAAAAAAUAUGUAAUUCAGAAAUACAAAGUUGUGUGAUGGGAUGAAUUAAUGGUUAUGUUGUGAGUAACUGGGAAGCAUCUAUUUCAUUCUGCUCUGGAUAACGAGGCCCAACCUGGGAAUAUUAUGUCUGUGUCCAGUGGUGACAUCACAUUAUGGUAGAUAAUUUUGAAAUCUUUUUCAUUUUGAAAGGAGAAAGAGCAGUGCUUAGAAAGCAGGAAAAGCUGAAAUAAAUGACUCCUUUUGUUUUGGAAAAAAAAAAAAAAUAGGCAUAAUGUAGAUCAGCGAUACAAAAAAAUGUUACUAAAAAUGUGAGAGAGAAAAGGGCACUUACCUGUUCUCCCUCAGUAAAAACGUUGUGAAAAGAAACGGAUAGGCAAAGCUGAAGCCUGAGAUACUCAGAUUAGGUACAAUUCAGAUAGAUUUCUCUGGUUAUGAGAAUGGCACAGCACUGGAACAAGGUUUCUAAAAUACUCCAGAAUCCUUGCUUCAAAUCCUUAAAAUGGGUCAGACAGACAUCUGUCAGUGAUGUGGAACAGAUGUCCUCUUGAGAUCGCUUCUACUUUCACAUUUCUACAAUAAUUCGUACACCUCAGUCAAGAGGAAAACCCACGUGAACCAAAUAAGCAAGAAUUGCUCGCAUGCACAUACAAACAUACAUUUCCUACCAAACCCCCAACCUUUCCCUGAAAAUCUCUUUUCCUAUCAAACAUUUCUGUGCACUUAUCAAACUGAUGUUGUUUCUUCUAGUCCUUUUCACCUGCACGUCCCCCAAAACAGAGAAAAGAGUCACUCAUCACUUCAUUUCUGUAUUAAAGAUUAUGGAGAAAGGCAGAUCUGACGUCUAUCCAAACAACUAAUCCAGUAUGUUGCUUUCUGUGGGCUGACCCUACUAAUGUAUAGAAGCAAGCCUCCGAAGCCAUAAAAGCCUUUUUUGAAACUAUCUGUUGCAAGCUGCCAUAAGAAGUGCUUUGUUCUUUUUCUCUCUGUAUUUUUGAUGAAGCUACAGUUUGAAAAUGACACUUUAUAAAUAUGCCUGCUCCCCUUUAAUGAUAAACUUGGGACAAACUGGAUGAUAUUUUCAUGAGGUUUUAUUGGCAUGAUUUUGAACUGUUUUGUUAUUUAUGGGAGCAUCCUAGACAGACUGCAGCAAACACUCAGCAUCUUCUUGUUAUGUUUACUGUGUGAGCCACAUGCAUCUCAAAAUGUAGUCUUGAAAUAUAUAGUGAGAAAAGGGAGCUUCUUUUAGGGCUGCAGGGCCAGAAAUCUUAGUCAUCAAGUGCUGAUUUGUGUGAAGAUUACAACAGGAAAAAACAGUGUUUUAAAUGACUGAUCUAAACAAGGUACCUGAAAUUUAACUGCAGGGUUUGCACACUGCACUGCAGUGCAUGCGUGCUACCUCAAAAUGACACUCAGAGCAGAAUGUCUUCUCCUGCAUGUGCUUGCCUUUGUGAUCAUACCUGCACGAUAACAAAUUCAGGAAACCUUUUCUUAAAGGUUAUGAGGCUGCGGCUGCAAGUAAAGAAUUGUUUGUCUUGCUUUGUAUCUGGGAUUAUGCCUGUUCCAUCUCCAUGAAACCAAGGAUGUUUAAUUUUGCAUGAAUGGUGGUGGGGCGAGUGUUAUUUGGUUCCUUGGCUUAGAUUUCCUACUAGGUCCGGAGGCUUAGAAAAAGGAAUAUCCUUACUUGGAGAACAGCCAUCUCCCUUUCCAGGCAAACUGACUGGUAGGUGACAGUCUUUGACAAGGGUCCAGUCUCAGUUCCCUGGAAGUAGGUUAGUCAUGUGAGAAGCUUUUCUGUGCAUUCGAAGACACACAAGAUAGUUCUGCUUGAGCCAGGUUCAUGCACAGUGCUAAGGCUAUAUUCAUGUGGUGCAAUGCUUCUUGGAUACCUAUAUGCCAAGGUUAAUAGUGUAACUGACCUUCCUCUUCUCUAUUUUGCUCUGGCCCUGUUCUUAUUCACGUAUGUCUUUAGCACAUAUGCUUUAGCUUUACCUGAGUAUAACAGUCUCCUAUUACCUCCUGCAACUGAGAACUGGUCAAAACUGAGCAUCCCAGGCUCUAUUAAAAUGUCAGCAAGAUUUUACGCACGAGUUAAGUCCCACUUAAGGAGUAUUUUGAGAUUUCACUGUGCAAUGUAAAAAAAUAAAUUUGCAGUUACUGACCCCUCCAUGCAGUCCACAUAGUAUACUUGAUACUUGGGGUGGUAGGAAGAUACACCAUCACUCACACUCAUUAGGAGGUCCACAGCACAUAACUUUUAAGAGGGAAUUUUGGGGUAGAAGGUUUUGGGAGGUCAUUGGUAAUACUGCCAUUAACUUGCCAAUGAGGAGGUAGGACCAUAUUUAGAGCCACUUUUAGUCCUGCUUUCUGUAAUCUAAUAGGUUUUACAUUUUCAUUAGCUAUCACAAAUGAAAGAUUUGUGGUAGUAUGGAACCAAAAUUUUUUUCCUUAUCACUUGCAAAAGAUGCUAUUAAAGAUAAAGUAAAAUAAAACUUCCUGGAUCUAAAUAUAGGCUGGACUAAAUUGGCAGAUUUCAGUAAGCAUGUCUGCUUAGUACUGGACACGGUGCUGAGUGAAUUUUACAUAAGAGGAAAAAAAGCUAAGUAAAAUGAUAGAAAGCCUUGUCUGAACUGCAGCCGAAAACGGAAUAGUUUUCCCUUCUAUGAUACAGGGUUGUAUCUUUCUAUCUCAGCCAACCAGAGAGAUCUUUUUGGAAUACAUAUACCCCUGUCUGAAACACAUCUCCAGCCUGUUCUGUGCUAAAAAAUUUCAAUCACAGAAAGGAAAAGAAAAAAACAAAAAACAAAAAACAAAACCCAAUAACACUCCCAAACUAGCUCAGUUCCUGAGGUUUCUGCAAAGGAUGUAACCUAGAUUCACAGAAUAAUUCUGGUAGGAAGGUGUAACCUCUAGGAAAUCAUCUGCUCAGGUGUUCCUCACACAACAGAUCUAGCACACCCAUCUCCCAUUAUAGAUACCACAUUGCAGAUAUCCUAAUUUGUAAGGGUGAUGUCAGCUAAGAUCAAAGAUCUAUUCUCAUUUCCAGCAUAGGCCAGAAGAGGUUAAGUCAAUUUAUGAAGUCUCUUAAAUGAUCUCACUGAGGCAGAGUUUCUCAUCUAGUGCCCCUCAUCCUAAACCCUCAGUACUAAUUCUGUGUUAUGCCAAAGAGGAGCACACAGGAGUCUGGAUCUGCGCUGCAGCUGGGACAUAAUGUAUCUCUGCCUAUUUCCAGCGCCUUUCCCAGCUCUUUCCCAAAGCUCUGAGGGGACAGAUGGUCUCUUCUGCCCAUUUAUUUGGUUUCCAUGGUGGAAACAAUUACCGCAGCACAAACAAGAAGGGGACACUCAUCCAGACACUGCAAGACUGUUCAUUAGUAAGGCAGCAUCAAUGUGCAUGUGGCAGCCCAAUUUGUGUCUUGCUUGCCAGUGUGGCUUAACUCAAGUAUAUCCUCUGAACUGACAUCAGUGAGAGCAGACAUUCUGUGUUAAGAGGAACAGCCCACCCGUGAUAAAAAUAUAUUAUUGCGGUGAUAUAUUUUAAUGAGAACUUCAGUGUGACCAGCUAGUGUUGUUUGAAAUAAAUUCUAUUAAUAAAGCAGCUGAAUUUGUGGUAUAGCACUAAAUACAGAGAACUAUAAAGUAGCUACGUGAUGUGGGGUCAUCAGUUUAGUGGUCUGACCCUCAUACCUUAUGCAUGUCCCUUAAUUUCCAUGGAGUCUCACCCUCCUUCUGUAGAAUGAGGUUUAGCUCUCCCUCCUCACACCCCAGUGGAAUGUCACAGGGUGCAACCCUCUGGCACUGAGGAGAUAUCUGACAGUGAGGUCUGUAUUAGCACUUCAGGUAGCACUUCUAUUUAGGGGCCAGCAGACUGACAGCUCCUUGCUGUGUGAUACCAUGGUGCUUUGUCUCCUCGUUUUGGUAUGUGCAGUAUCCUACUUGUGCUACAUCUCAGUGAGCUGGAGAAGUGGUGCAAGUCACAGCACUUUCCUUUUCCAUCUGGCCUGCAGCAAUGGAGGGGUGGAGGGGGUUAGGCUUGCUGUGGUGUGACUGUGCUGCAAUGUAUGAAGUCAAGAACCCCACUGAAGAACUUGAAUAGAGAUUUGCAUCAUGUUGGUGAUGUUGCCAAACUUCAUGGUAGAAAUGCUCCAUUUUUGGAAGAUAAACUAUAGAAUACUUUCCACAGGACUGCAAGAAAGCAAGCUUGCUAUGCCUGCAUUCCACGCUUCUCAAUCAACAUCAAUAUCAAACCUCCUCCAGAAUGAAAAGAUUUCACCACUUUUCUUGUUAAAUGUCUUUGUUACGUGUAUUUAGGGUGUGCUAGAUAUUUUCCCUAGUUUAUCAAUGCCUUCAGCCGCUCAGCUCUAAGAAAGGUCAGUAUGGGCUCAUUGCUGAUUCCUUUUAUUUUUUUUCUCUCUGGUGCAUAACACAGGCAGCUAUUCUUGCCAGUCUCUCUCUUUGCCUAAGUACUUAGAAUCCUCCACGGGAACAGGUGAUUAAUGGCAUGUUAAUUGUCUAUGUUUGAGAAUGCACACAGACACACAGAUGCUUACACAGGGAGCUCUUGGUACGUAUGUCUUUCUAAGCAUCAAGUUUUUCCAUACAGAUCUUAUUAUCUGUAACAUAGCCCUUUCUCUCAGUAUUGUAUUUGCACUGGGGUUGAGGCAAUCCCAGUCAUGCACACAGACUGGGAAAAGAACCCAAAGAGAGCAGCUCUGUGGAGAAGAACUUGAGGAUCCUGAUGAAUGGAAGCCUGGACAUGAGCCAGCAGUGCACACUUGCAGCCCCGAAAGCCAACUGUAUCCUAGGCUGCAUCAACGGAGGGAUGACAGCAGGGAGAGGGAGGGGAUUGUCCCCAUCUGCUCUGCUCUCGUGAGGACUCAUCUGCAGUACUGCAUCCAGGCCUGGGGCCCCCAGCAGAAGAAAAACAUGGAGCUGUUGGAGCGGGUCCAGAGAAGAUCAUAAAGAUGAUCAGAGAGCUGGAGCACCUCUCCUGUGAAGAAAGGCUGAGGGAACUUUGCUUGUUCAGCCUGGAGAAGAGAAGGCUCCAGGGAGACUUCAUCAAGGCUUUCCAGUACUUAAAGGGAACUUAUAAACUGAUUUUUUACAUAGCCUGGUGGUGAUAGAACAAGGGGCAGUGGCUUUAAAACAGAUGAGAUUUAAGUUAGAUGUCAGCAGGAAUUUCUUUACUCAGAGGGCAGUGAGGCCCUGGCACAGCUGCUCCGAGAAGCUGUGGUGCCCCAUCCCUGGAGGCACCCGAGGCCUGGUUGGAUGAGGCCCUGGUGGAAGGUAGCCCUGCCCACAGCAUAGGCUGGGACUGCGUGGGCUUUGAGGUUCCUUCCAACUCAAGUAAUUCUAUCACUCUAUGAUUCUAUGAUAUAUUUGUUGUCUGUCUUGACACAUGACUGUAUGAAUACUGUCUUUACUUUCUAAGUCAUGAUUAAUUUAAAAAUUUCUCAGUUUUCUCACUGUACUUUUUUUUCUUUUCUGAGCCUAAUUACUAAGAGAUGUGAGCAUAUAAAUAUAAAACGUAUGAGUUGUUUGUUGUUGGUGGUGGUGGUGGGUUUUUUUUUUGCAAUAAAUCUGAUCAUUAUUUAUAUUGCUUCUCAGUAUCUCUCCCCUAAGCUAUCCUGAACUUGAACAAAUCACUACAUCACUAGAAUCUUGAACGUUACUUAUUUGUGCGCUAAUUAUUCUUAAUCUGGGUCCUUUUAAGAAGGUUGUCAAUUAGACUUUAUUGAAUUGUCAGUGCUCACAGCAGCAAAGGGAAUCUGGUAGCACGUGUAACCAUGUCACAGAUGGCUAAAUACUCUAUAUUCUGAAGGGGAAAAUGAAUUAAAUAUAGAUUCAAGUUACAGAAUGUGUGUGCGAUGUAGGUUUUUGUUUUUUGGUUUGUUUUUUUUUUCAGAGGAAACCACUGUUUACAAUUGACUGAAGAUGUCUCUGAGGAUCUCUUAUAUAUCAGCCUUUGGGAAGAGCUAUGAGCAAGUGGCUCAUCUAGUUUUCAAGGUUCACAUUGAAAUAGGUCUCUAGAUGGUGCAGAUCUUUCAUCUUUUGAGAACAUCUUAAGGCCACCUUACUGGUGUUUGUUUUCCCUUGCCAAAAGUUCAGAACCACUGCUUUCUACAGUAAAUUCAGUGAUAACAGCCUACCAGGUCAUGUCUUGAUGUUUUCACUCUUUUCACAUGGAUGUUAUCAAGCAGCAAUGAUGACAGUAGCCUC
Molecule: long non-coding RNA, 11866 nt
Organism: Gallus gallus (chicken)
Lineage: Eukaryota; Metazoa; Chordata; Aves; Galliformes; Phasianidae
Source: Ensembl